This 439-nucleotide ribosomal RNA is filed under the name uncultured bacterium. RNAcentral's name for it is "partial 16S ribosomal RNA". It matches the Rfam family "Bacterial small subunit ribosomal RNA", at positions 339 to 795 of the family's 1533-position model. The record is from RNAcentral.
CUACGGGUUGCACCAGUGGGGAAUAUUGCACAAUGGAGGAAACUCUGAUGCAGCAACGCCGCGUGGAGGAUGACACUUUUCGGAGCGUAAACUCCUUUUAUAUAGGAAGAAGAUGACGGUACUUUAUGAAUAAGCGCCGGCUAACUCCGUGCCAGCAGCCGCGGUAAUACGGAGGGCGCAAGCGUUACUCGGAAUCACUGGGCGUAAAGAGCGUGUAGGCGGAUUAAAAAGUCAGAAGUGAAAUCCUAUAGCUUAACUAUAGAACUGCUUCUGAAACUCUUAAUCUAGAAUAUGGGAGAGGUAGAUGGAAUUUCUGGUGUAGGGGUAAAAUCCGUAGAGAUCAGAAGGAAUACCGAUUGCGAAGGCGAUCUGCUAGAACAUUAUUGACGCUGAGACGCGAAAGCGUGGGGAGCAAACAGGAUUAGAUACCCCUGUAGUC